Apodemus sylvaticus (European woodmouse) is the source of this 1029-nucleotide long non-coding RNA. RefSeq lists it as uncharacterized. The transcript is spliced from 2 exons. Lineage: Eukaryota; Metazoa; Chordata; Mammalia; Rodentia; Muridae. The record is from RefSeq and is a predicted model, not a curated record.
UAUCCAUCCGAGACCUACAGUUUCCAUAAUCUGUACUUGGAGGAAGACCACUGGGCAGUGGCAGUUGGGAAAAGUGGGCUCUUGAGCCGGUAAGUACUGGGUACAAAGUCCAGGCUUUCCUGGACUGCCAGCAUGACCUGAGGCACCCAUCAUCCUGCUUUCAGCUUCAGGUCCCUCCCAAACUGGCUCUUGUGAGGAUCAAACAAGGUCCUGUUGAUUGGGGAAGGCUGUCUGCCGUCAGCACCCACAGCUCAAGGAAACCUAGAACUGAGCACAAGAUGGGUGGGGUCGAUGUGUAUAUGAAGUCUGAUUUGCAUAGAGAGACUCUGGGCCAGGGGUGAAGGGUGGGCUGGGCCCAGUUCUGUAUCUCAACCCUGUACUUAGGAACCAGGACUGUUCCAUAUCUGAAAACUGCAGGGCUUGCUGCAGAGCGUCUGUGGACACACCCAGCCUCCCCUGCCCCAGCUGUCCCUGGCACUCCUACCUGUGGCCACUGAUCUGUAUCUACCCCCAGAAUGCCACUAAACAGCUAAGUGAGGGAAUCAACUACAGUACCUCCCGGAACCCAGGUUACAGCAAGUCUCCACUCUUCCUGGCAGGUGUUCAGACAGACCCACGUAGGAGACAGCAAAGAAGCUUCCUGUCUGCUGGCAGAGAACAGGUGGCAGAACAUGAAGCUGGCCAGCCACUGUGUGCAGUGCUAGAGGCCUUGUUGAAACAAGUCCAAAUUGUGCAGAAGUGUGAGCACAAGAUGAGGUUAAGCCAGGCCUGCUGUGAGUCAAUGAUCACAAAAAGAAAAGGAGUCUCCCAUCCUCUCCCCCAGGUCCUUCUUGCCUACCUGCAGCUCAAAGAAGUCUUCUAAACUGACGGGCAAUAUGAAGAAGAUACCUGCUCAACUCAAGAUGUGUGGAAACUAGAGUGCCAGAACAGAAGACUUCUAAGUGUGCGGGAAGACACAACAGAGACUUUACUGUCCAUCUAACAGUAAAUGCCAUCUAUCUUUGCAAGAAUAAAGGCCCACACAGAGUC